AAUGUUGCGGCUGCUAUAGCAGUUAUUAUUCUUAUUAGCUUGCCGAACAUGAGUCUGAACUUCGAAUUUUAUAAGGUAAUGAUCGGACAUUACUUUAGUAUACGGGAGUAUCAUAACUUUGGAGACGGUGAUACCUCUGACAAGCACUAGGUCUAUCGUAUUGCCGCUGCGAUGCGUCGGUUCAUUUAUUAUUUGUGUAAGACCACAGCUAUCAAUUAUAGUCUGGAGCGCCACGCACGGUGGGUCCAAUGGGGUAUUCAUAUGGAUAUUAAAGUCCCCCAUUAUGAUUAUAUUAUCGGCGUGCGUCACUAGAUCAGCAACAAACUCUGAGAAUUCACUAAUAAAGUCCGAAUAGGGCCCUGGGGGGCGGUAGAUAACGGCCAGGCACAGAGGCAGAGGUGUGGCAGACUUCAUAGAAAGCACCUCAAACGAUUUAUAUUUAUUAUUUAAGUUAGGACUAAAGUUAAAGUUUUCGUUGUAUAUUAGUGCGACACCCCCUCCCCUUUUGAGGUGACGGGCAAUAUGCGCAUUCGUAUAGUUAGGAGGGGAUGCCUCAUUUAUCGCAAAAAACUCGUCUGGUUUAAGCCAGGUUUCGCUAAGACCGAUGACGUUAAGGUUGUUGUCUCUAAUGACCUCAUUGACUAAUAACGUUUUGGGAGACAAAGAUCUGAUGUUUAGAAAGCCCAUAUUAUAGGUAGUGGGCUGUUUUAAGGAGUUGUUGAUGAAAUUAUCCGUCGUAGCAAUAUUAAUAAUGUUACGUUUAUUAUGCGCAGUGUACUUAAAAUAAUUACGACCAUAUCUAGGAAUUGAUAUGACGGGAAUUUUCAGAUUGUCUACUUGGCGCUGCGAUAAACUGAACGCAUCAUAAUUUGCCACCUCAGUAGAGCGCAUGUCUAACUCUGACGUAGUCAUAGACACAGUAGAAAAAACAUUUUGUGAGUUGUGUAUUAUUCUACGAAAAUUGCUAUGUGUACAGGGAUCAUCCAGCCUGGCGCUGGCUAGUUCUAACUUAACUGACUCCAUACCCAGGCUAGCAGGCUCUGUAAUUGCCUGUGACCGGGCUUGCUCUAGUGCAGUUAGUCAAAUGUGGCUCAAUGCGAAGUCUAUGUUCCGAGACAAGAGGAUAGCGCCUUCCUGGUUAGGGUGAAGGCCGUCUCUCCUCAGCAAGCCAGGUUUGCCCCAGAAAGAGGGCCAAUUAUCAAUAAACGUAAAUCCCUGUUGUCUGCAGAAGCUAUCCAGCCACCUGUUAAGAGAGACUAAUCUGCUAUAUCUCUCAUCAUUGCCUCUCCCAGGCAGGGGGCCAGAGACAAUUACUCGAUGCCUGGACAUCUUUCUGGCGAGAUUACAAGCCCUGGCUAUGUUUCUCUUUGUAAUCUCUGAUUGUCUCAUCCUAACGUCAUUGGAGCCAACGUGUAUUACUAUAUUCGCAUAACUAGUGGUGCGGUUAGCCUGCCGUACGUGCUUACUAGACCUGUUGCGAGUUAGCUCCCUAAGAUUAGCUUCAAUGUCAGGUGCUCUGCCCCCGGGAAUACACUUAAUUGUGGCUGGUUUGCUAAGCUUUAUGUUUCGGGUGAUGGAGUCCCCUAUGACUAAAGUGUGGUGCCCGGUAGACUGGGGUGUAGGACUAGCUAAAGGGCUAAAUCUAUUAUGCGUCUCAACCGGUACACCGUAGCUUGUAGGCCGAUUAGGGCUGCUACAAGCUGGGCUAGUUAGCUCGCUACAGCUAACGCUAGCAGAUGUGUCCGCAACAUCUAAAGUUACGAAAUUACACUGCUCUAACUGGCGGACACGGCUCUCUAGCAAAGCCAACCUAUCCAUGAGUAAAGUGCACGAAGCGCAGGAAGCCAUACUCACAGAAACUUUCCGUCGCCGAGUGGAGUGCCAGCUGUCUUCGGGAAGUGGUGGUCACGGUGGCGGGGGAGUAGCUUCCUUCAGACCGGCGCUGCCUUUCUCCGCUAGCCUCGUUAGCUUAGCAGCUAGCUAGCUGAGGGCGGAGUGGUGAGACAGAGAUCGGGUGAUUUGCAAGUUAAAUGGAACUAUUAAAUAUGUUCGAUAAGUUGUAAAUAAAGCUGCAAAACAGUUAAAAUCACACAGAUAGAACGAUACUUAGCUUUUUUGCAACAAGAGCAGUCGGCGAGCAGUCAGUCACGGAUUCCCAAAACCUCAAAAAAGUCUGCGGGCUAUAGAGCAUUUUCAAUUCAGGCUCCAGUACUCUGGAAUGCCCUCCCGGUAACAGUUGGAGAUGCCACCUCAGUAAAAGCAUUUAAGUCUCACCUUAAAACUCAUUUGUAUACUUUAGCCUUUAAAUAGACUCCCUUUUUAGACCAGUUGGUCUGCCAUUUCUUUUCUUUUUCUCCUCUGUCCCACUCUCCCUUGUGGAGGGGGUCUGGUCCAAUGGCCAUGGAUGACGUACUGGCUGUCCAGAGUCGGGACCCAGGAUGGACCACUCGUCCAGAGUCGGGACCCGGGAUGGACCGCUUGCCUGUGUAUCGGCUUGGGACAUCUCUGCGCUGCUGAUCCGCCUCCGCUUGGGAUGGUUUCCUGCUGGCUCCGCUGUGGACGGGACUCUCGCUGCUGUGUUGGAUCCACUAUGGAUUGAACUUUCAGAGUAUCAUGUUAGACCCGCUCGACAUCCAUUGCUUUCCUCCUCUCCAAGGUUCUCAUAGUCAUCAUAGUCACCGAUGUCCCACUGGGUGUGAGUUUUCCUUGCCCUUAUGUGGGCCUACCGAGGAUGUCGUAGUGGUUGGUGUUGUGGUUUGUGCAGCCCUUUGAGACACUAGUGAUUUAGGGCUAUAUAAGUAAACAUUGAUUGAUUGAUUGAUAAUUAUGAGGGAAAAAUUGAUGUUCAAUCCUGAGUGUAAACAUAGCUUGUUUCAAGGGAAGUUAAACAAUAACUGAAAAUCGCAAGAAGAAGUUAUUGGGGAUACGAAGAUUAUGGGGAAUUUAUUUGAUAAACAGGGGGGAAUGUCAGAAGAAUUCAGUGUAAAUUAUCAAAUAAAACCUUGUAUUACAUUGUGUUCCUGACGAGAAGAAAAAAGGCUGGAGCUUUCCAAGAAGAAUGCUGGACUUCCAGGCGGACAGAUGGCAGAAUCUGCCCAACUUCCAGAGAAACUCUUUUAAGUAUUUUUACGAACCCUCUUUGAUCUAUUUUAUGGGACUUUCUUUGAUCUGUUCGGGAACCAAAGGCAAUGCUGGUCAUGACCCACUUCCAUGAGGAAGCAGCUGUGGGAAGGAGGGGGGUGAAAAUCAAAUAAAGAACCACGAGAACGAUCUUGGGGCAGAGCAUGGUGCAGGAUUUGUACAGGCAGUACAAUGGCCAUGCCUCUCCUCGGAUCCGAGUAUAAAUUGAAUUCUGUCUCUGUUUGAUUCUUUGCCUUUUUGUCCUGUUUAAUAGAUGUCAUCAAUGUUUGAACCUGACAGAUGGAGGUCUCGCAACUACGUCUUCACAGAGACAACAGUCAGUGGAAACUUGCUGACAUCAGCCUCCUCCUGCCCUACAGGACACUCUCCCUCCUGACUGAUCCACACUUCCUCCUCUUCCUCUUUCAUGUGGGGGGGCUGUGGAACCUCCUGCUGCUGAAGGGGACGUUCUUCUUGACGAGCGUUCAUCUGUUGGACGUCCGCAAGACAACACAAACAAACUUCAGCUCAGAUGUGUCAAAUAUUUUUUAAUCUAUCAAAUAUAAUAUUUUCCAAGUGGACUGACACCACUUUGUGGUGAUGUUCUUCUACACAUGGAAUAAUCAUCAGUUAUUGAUUAUUAUGAAUUGUGUUAUUGAUCCUGUUUUCUGCAUUUACAUUAAUUACUGAUUAAAAAGUAACAACUUAAAGAAAA
This is a long non-coding RNA of Nerophis ophidion (straightnose pipefish), 3835 nucleotides long. RefSeq lists it as uncharacterized. The transcript has 2 exons. The record is from RefSeq and is a predicted model, not a curated record. NCBI's taxonomy places the organism in Eukaryota, Metazoa, Chordata, Actinopteri, Syngnathiformes, Syngnathidae.